This 220-nucleotide long non-coding RNA is filed under the name Manihot esculenta (cassava). Its description in RNAcentral is "long non-coding RNA (MESC_LNC001238)". Lineage: Eukaryota; Viridiplantae; Streptophyta; Magnoliopsida; Malpighiales; Euphorbiaceae. The record is from RNAcentral.
GCCCAGUGAGCCGAAUAAUAAAAAAAACAUUUAUAUCAUAUGGAUCAUGGAAUGCAUCACAUCACAGCUAAUCACAUCAAGGAUGAACUUGUCACCAAUAGCCCUCUACAUAGUCCAACUGUGCCAGAACGUAGAAUGGGUCCUGGUCUUUCCCUUACAUAACAUAGCAUAACAUAACAGUCCAACUGUGCCAGAACGUAGAAUGGGUCCUGGUCUUUCN